Molecule: long non-coding RNA, 1615 nt
Organism: Kogia breviceps (pygmy sperm whale)
Lineage: Eukaryota; Metazoa; Chordata; Mammalia; Artiodactyla; Physeteridae
Source: RefSeq, a predicted model, not a curated record
UGAGACCAGGUCUCUGUAGCUAAGCACUUUAACCACCAGGUGGAAGCACCGCAUUGGGAGUUCUCGGAAGGCAACCGCCAGGUCCUAACUACUGGUACCCAAAACUGGCACCAGAGUGUGGCAUCUUACACCGCUGCUACUGAUAGUCAUAGAAUCACAGUCAAGCAGAGACCUUCAUUUUACACGUAAGGAAACUGAACUGUGGUGGGUUGAAUCACAGGGCUCCUGCCUCCUAAUUAUUUUAUUAUACAUGCUAUCUUCUUUUCGCCUAUCUUGAAAAUCUUUUACUAUGUUGGUUUCUCUGUAAAAGGAAUUACACCUGAACUUAAAACCCAGGGAGCAUAAUCAACAGCCUAAGAGGGUGGAGAACAGUAGGAAAGGUGUUGGGGAUCUGGUCUCACUGUAGUCAGAAUUCCAUGGUCGUUUUUUCUCUUGAACACAUCACUUGAUGAGCGGAGGGUGUAGCUGGGAUUCUACCAUACUAAAUCCUUGCAGCAAACUUCACUUUCAAGCACAGAGCUGUCACUGCAAAAUAUACCCCAAACCUGCUCUGAACUAAAUUCAGGUUUGUUUUAUAUUUGGUUUAGAAAUUUUCUAAAUUGUUUUGCUUGUCUCUAAAUGGUUUUAAGUUUGAUUCUGAUAAAAUUUCUGAUUUUAAAAGCAUUAUUUCCUUCAGAAAUUUACAUUAAGGCUCAUGAACCAAAUCAGAUUUUGGUUCAUGUCCCUUCAGAAUUGCUAUCUUAGAAAGGGAAAAGUUAGAACUCAGAAUGCCUGACUGAAAAUUGUUUAGGACUUGAUGGUAAAUCAAGUUGAGUUUUGUAUACUUUUAUCUGUAAUAUUACCAAAAUCAUUUUCUGCAAUAUUAUAUUAAUAUAUACUUUCAAGUAUAUAAUAAAUUACCACUUAUUUAAAUAAAAACUAUCAAGAUAUUUAGGUUAUUACCAGAUUUAAAAGAGGUCUACAAAUAUUGCUGAUAUUAACAUGUAUGAUUUUGUGCAUGUAGAAUAAACUGGCAUAGGAAUAGCUCCUAAAUGCCCAUGUAUCUCCCUUUCAUUUGUGGGUCUCAAGCAGGUACCAAGCCUGGUAUAGUUUCUGUUUCCAGACCCUAUAGGACUUUCAAUUUAAAAUAAGAACCAAAGCAACUCACUUUCAUGAGCAAUACACAGCACUCAGAAACCUGCCCCCCAGAGUUGCUGGUCUGCUGUUUGAUAUCCCCACUCCCCUAAUUCUUGCAUAUAAUGUUUUAAGAGCAGCAGUUUGCUGGAGCACUUGGUUCAUUCAUUCAGGUCUCACCAUGUGAUAGGAUUUAGAAUACGUUUUUCAAACAAAUUAAAUAGACCCUGGUUUCAGAGACCUCACACUCUGCCAGAGAAAAUCACUCAUGGAAAUAGAAGAGUAUAACGCAGUGUUAUAAAUCCCACAACAGAGGUAACCUGUUUAAUUUGAGGAGCAAAGAGGCAGGGCCCCCAGAUUGACUGGGAGGGGGUGAAACUGAGUGGAAUGGGACAAUGGUCAGCAAAGGUUUCCCAGAGGAGUUGAUAUCUGAACUUUUUUUUUUUUAAGGGAAUCAUCAUUGAUCAUUAUAUUUUACUUGUUUACUCUUUAACAGACUAGU